RNAcentral lists this ribosomal RNA (253 nucleotides) under uncultured bacterium. RNAcentral's name for it is "partial 16S ribosomal RNA". It matches the Rfam family "Bacterial small subunit ribosomal RNA", at positions 524 to 776 of the family's 1533-position model. The record is from RNAcentral.
UACGAAGGGUGCAAACGUUGCUCGGAAUUAUUGGGCGUAAAGCGCACGUAGGCGGCUUGGCAAGUCGGAUGUGAAAUCCCUCGGCUCAACCAAGGAAGUGCAUCCGAAACUGCUGAGCUUGAGUACUUAAGAGGAUCGCGGAAUUCCCGGUGUAGAGGUGAAAUUCGUAGAUAUCGGGAGGAACACCGGUGGCGAAGGCGGCGACCUGGGUAGAUACUGACGCUGAGGUGCGAAAGCGUGGGGAGCGAACAGG